UCCGUAGGCGGUGUGGCAAGUCGGUAGUGAAAUCUCUCGGCUUAACUGAGAGGCUGCUGCCGAAACUGCCAUGCUCGAGUGCGAGAGAGGCGAGUGGAAUUGCGGGUGUAGCGGUGAAAUGCGUAGAUAUCCGCAGGAACAUCAGAGGCGAAAGCGGCUCGCUGGAUCGCAACUGACGCUGAGGGACGAAAGCUAGGGGAGCAAACAGGAUUAGAUACCCUGGUAGUCCUAGCCCUAAACCAUCAGGACUUGGGGUUUGCCCUGUACGGGGCAAGUCCCGGAGCUAACGCGUUAAGUCCUGCGCCUGGGGAGUACGGUCGCAAGGCUGAA
Molecule: ribosomal RNA, 330 nt
Filed under: uncultured bacterium
Lineage: Bacteria
Description: bacterial SSU rRNA
Rfam family: Bacterial small subunit ribosomal RNA
Source: RNAcentral